RNAcentral lists this long non-coding RNA (1071 nucleotides) under Cyanistes caeruleus (blue tit). Its description in RNAcentral is "lncRNA (ENSCCEG00000003985.1)". The record is from RNAcentral. Lineage: Eukaryota; Metazoa; Chordata; Aves; Passeriformes; Paridae.
CGUUGAGGAUUUUGGCGUCGUUCUCGUCCGACACGAAGGUGAUGGCCAAGCCCUUGGUGCCGAAACGCCCGGCCCGCGCCACCUGCCCGGCAACGGCGCGCUCAGAGGGACCCCGCGAGCCCCCCGGCUGCGGGGGCAGCCCAGGAACAGCCGGAGCUCGCGGAAACACCCGGAACUCGCACGGAAACAGCCGGAAUUCACCCAAAAACCACCACAGGAACUCACACGGAAACAACCGGAAUUCACCCAAAAACAACCGGAACUCACACGGAAACAACCGGAAUUCACACGGAAACCACCACAGGAACUCACGGAAACACCCGGAACUCACACAGAAACCACACGGAAUUCACCCAGGAACAGCCGGAACUCACGGAAACAACCGGAAUUCACCCAGAAACACCCGGAACUCACACAGAAACCACCCCAGGAACAGCCGGAACUCACAGAAACACACGGAACUCGCACGGAAACAGCCGGAAUUCACACAGAAACCAACACAGGAACACCCGGAACUCACGGAAACACCCGGAAUUCACCCAAAAACAACCGGAAUUCACCCAGAAACCACCACAGGAACAGCCGGAACUCACGGAAACAACCGGAAUUCACACAGAAACCACCCCAGGAACACCCGGAACUCACGGAAACACCCGGAACUCACACGGAAACAACCGGAACUCACACGGAAAUACCCGGAAUUCACACAGAAACCACCACAGGAACACCCGAAACUCACACGGAAACAACCGGAAUUCACACAGAAACACCCGGAAUUCACCCAAAAACCACCACAGAAACACCUGGAACUCAUGGAAACAACCGGAAUUCACACGGAAACAACCGGAACUCGCACGGAAACCACCCCAGGAACAGCCGGAACUCACAGAAACACACGGAACUCGCACGGAAACAGCCGGAAUUCACACAGAAACCAACACAGGAACACCCGGAACUCACGGAAACAACCGGAAACCACCCCAGGAACAGCCGGAACUCACGGAAACACACGGAAUUCACACAAAAACACCCGGAAUUCACACGGAAACAACCGGAACUCACACGGAAACA